AGCAGCCGCGGUAAUUCCAGCUCCAAUAGCGUAUAUUAAAGUUGUUGCAGUUAAAAAGCUCGUAGUUGAAUUUCGGGGUCAGUAGGUUGGUCGUGCCAGCGGUAUGCACUGGCCUCACUGAUUCCUCCCUCUUGUAGAACCGUAAUGCCAUUAGUUUGGUGUUGCGGGGAAACAGGACUGUUACUUUGAAAAAAUUAGAGUGUUUAAAGCAGGCUAACGCUUGAAUACAUUAGCAUGGAAUAAUGAAAUAGGACGUUCGAUCCUAUUUCGUUGGUUUCUAGGGUUGACGUAAUGAUUAAUAGGGAUAGUUGGGGGCAUUAGUAUUCAAUUGUCAGAGGUGAAAUUCUUGGAUUUAUUGAAGACUAACUACUGCGAAAGCAUUUGCCAAGGAUGUUUUCAUUAAUCAAGAACGAAAGUUAGGGGAUCGAAGACGAUCAGAUACCGUCGUAGUCUUAACCAUGAACUAUGCCGACUAGGGAUCGGAUGAUGUUAAUUUUUUAAUGACUCA
RNAcentral lists this ribosomal RNA (508 nucleotides) under uncultured Rhizophagus. RNAcentral describes it as "SSU rRNA". It matches the Rfam family "Eukaryotic small subunit ribosomal RNA", at positions 569 to 1078 of the family's 1831-position model. The record is from RNAcentral. Lineage: Eukaryota; Fungi; Glomeromycota; Glomeromycetes; Glomerales; Glomeraceae.